This 506-nucleotide ribosomal RNA is filed under the name uncultured bacterium. RNAcentral describes it as "partial 16S ribosomal RNA". It matches the Rfam family "Bacterial small subunit ribosomal RNA", at positions 28 to 523 of the family's 1533-position model. The record is from RNAcentral.
GAUGAACGCUAGCUACAGGCUUAACACAUGCAAGUCGAGGGGUAACGAGAGGAAAGCUUGCUUUCCUUGUCGACGACCGGCGCACGGGUGAGUAACGCGUAUCCAACCUGCCCCCAACUAAGGAAUAACAUUGCGAAAGUAAGAAUAAUACCUUAUAAUUUCCUCAGAUGUCAUCUGACGAGGAAUAAAGAUUUAUCGGUUGUGGAUGGGGAUGCGUCUGAUUAGCUUGUUGGCGGGGUAACGGCCCACCAAGGCAACGAUCAGUAGGGGUUCGGAGAGGAAGGUCCCCCACAUUGGAACUGAGACACGGUCCACACUCCUACGGGAGGCAGCAGUGAGGAAUAUUGGUCAAUGGGCGGAAGCCUGCACCAGCCAAGUAGCGUGCAGGAUGACGUCCCUAUGUGUUGUAAACUGCUUUUAUACAGGAAUAAAGUUAGCCACGUGUGGUUAUUUGUAGGUACUGUAUGAAUAAGCACCGGCUAAUUCCGUGCCAGCAGCCGCCGUAA